This is a long non-coding RNA of Daphnia magna, 619 nucleotides long. RefSeq lists it as uncharacterized. The record is from RefSeq and is a predicted model, not a curated record. The transcript is spliced from 2 exons. Lineage: Eukaryota; Metazoa; Arthropoda; Branchiopoda; Diplostraca; Daphniidae.
AAAGCCAAUGCCGACAGUGGCAGCAAACGAAGAUGGAUGGAAAGUUCCCGUGUCGAAUUGGACGAGGAGCGAAGUCUUUCCAACGCCACUGUCUCCAACCAGGAUAGUCUACAUAGCAGAAAUGUUACAGGACGUUAGCCAGAAACGUCAGCUGCUGAUAGGGCCAGUGGUGUUGUCACAACGUAUCCUCGAUAGCCCGUAUCACUUAUCUCUUUGCGCACUUUCAAAUCGACUGGGUGAGGCUGAGGAUGAUCAAGCCGGGAAUGAAACGAUCUUGAAGUACUGAAGUCGUCUUCUUCAAAGACCUCGUCAUCGGGCUCGUCCAGCCCCAUACUGGCGAAACUUUUAUGCGCCUCUGGUAUACCAUCCGACGGAGUUUCGUCGCCAUCCAACAUAGGGUUUUGCCAUUGCUAAAGUAUCAAAUGAAAGGGCAAACAGCCCUACUUGCAGAUGAUUAAAACCCGAAACCGUCUUUGAAAUGGGGUUACUCGAAUGUUUAGUUUUUAAGCGCUUUCAUCUGCAUAAUGAAACCCUAUAAAAUGCUGGAGCAAUAUUGCCCAUCAACGAUACAGUUAGAAGUAAACGGGCCCAUAAAUUGGUCUUUUUUUUUUAUCCAGUA